Long non-coding RNA from Agrilus planipennis (emerald ash borer), 498 nucleotides. RefSeq lists it as uncharacterized. Lineage: Eukaryota; Metazoa; Arthropoda; Insecta; Coleoptera; Buprestidae. The transcript is spliced from 5 exons. The record is from RefSeq and is a predicted model, not a curated record.
UUCUGAUAUAGUCGGUCCACGCGGCGGUGCUUUUUAGUAUAAACCUAUUGUCUGUAUAAUUACAUUAUAUAAUAAUAAUGUAAGGACUCCAUCUUGUUACUUUCCAAUUCCGUAGCAGCAACUCGAGGAUUUUGCGUCAGCGCAUUCUCUCCUUCUAAAUAACAAGAAAGACAUCACAAAGGGUUAAGAGAAUUUGAAGGAUAGACCAGGACAUCAUCCUCUAAGGACUUCAAAGCACCUAAGCGUCACUGCUGAUGUUUUGUAUUAAAACAUUAUUUGUGAAAUUAUAAAGCCAUUCUAGUCGAGUGUCGAGUGCAGCUUGAUUUAAAAAACAGAAAAUCUACAAAGUAAAAUUUUGGAAGGCCAGUCCUACUCUCUUCAUACCUCUCAGAUGACUUUUUACAAUCAACUGCAGGACCUUCAUUUCAAAACAUCAAGGAAUCACAACUCCAAUAAUCUGCCAUGAUCUAUUUGUCCAGAAUUUGCACCAUUAAAUAU